Molecule: ribosomal RNA, 505 nt
Filed under: uncultured bacterium
Lineage: Bacteria
Description: partial 16S ribosomal RNA
Rfam family: Bacterial small subunit ribosomal RNA
Source: RNAcentral
GACGAACGCUGGCGGCGUGCCUAAUACAUGCAAGUAGAACGCACAGUUUAUACCGUAGCUUGCUCCACCAUAAACUGUGAGUUGCGAACGGGUGAGUAACGCGUAGGUAACCUGCCUGGUAGCGGGGGAUAACUAUUGGAAACGAUAGCUAAUACCGCAUAAUAUUGAUUAUUGCAUGAUAAUUGAUUGAAAGAUGCUAUUGCAUCACUACCAGAUGGACCUGCGUUGUAUUUGCUAGUAGGUGCGGUAACGGCUCACCUAGGCGACGAUACAUAGCCGACCUUGGAGGGUGAUCGGCCACACUGGGACUGGGACACGGCCCAGACUCCUACGGGAGGCAGCAGUAGGGGAUCUUCGGCAAUGGACGAAAGUCUGACCGAGCAACGCCGCGUGAGUGAAGAAGGUUUACGGAACGGAAAGCUCUGUUGUAAGAGAAGAACGAGUGUGAGAGUGGAAAGUUCACACUGUGACGGUAUCUUACCAGAAAGGGACGGCUAACUACGUG